Molecule: ribosomal RNA, 254 nt
Filed under: uncultured bacterium
Lineage: Bacteria
Description: partial 16S ribosomal RNA
Rfam family: Bacterial small subunit ribosomal RNA
Source: RNAcentral
UACGUAGGGUGCAAGCGUUGUCCGGAAUUAUUGGGCGUAAAGAGCUCGUAGGCGGUUCGUCGCGUCGGCUGUGAAAUCCCGAGGCUCAACCUCGGGUCUGCAGUCGAUACGGGCGGACUGGAGUUCGGCAGGGGAGACUGGAAUUCCUGGUGUAGCGGUGAAAUGCGCAGAUAUCAGGAGGAACACCGGUGGCGAAGGCGGUUCUCUGGGCAUUGACCUGACGCUGAGGAGCGAAAGUGUGGGGAGCGAACAGG